Long non-coding RNA from Myotis davidii, 264 nucleotides. RefSeq lists it as uncharacterized. Lineage: Eukaryota; Metazoa; Chordata; Mammalia; Chiroptera; Vespertilionidae. The transcript is spliced from 2 exons. The record is from RefSeq and is a predicted model, not a curated record.
ACUGUUAGGAAGUGACAGCAGGACUCAGGAUGGUUUGCUUUCUCCUCACCCAGGUGGAGUUUGUCCCUGAGCUGCCCAAAACCGUCACUGGCAAGAUCAAAAGGAGUGAACUUCGGGAAAAGGAGUUUAGUCAGAUGCAACAGCAGUAAAUUCAGCAUCCCUUCUGAUGAACAUCACUCACUCCCCUGCCUCCCAGGCUCCUGUUCCUUUGGAUGCCCAGGCGGCGCUCAGAUCGGGGCUGAAGAUAAUAAAGUGCUGACAUCG